This is a non-coding RNA of Pantherophis guttatus, 661 nucleotides long. NCBI's taxonomy places the organism in Eukaryota, Metazoa, Chordata, Lepidosauria, Squamata, Colubridae. The record is from RefSeq and is a predicted model, not a curated record.
UGCUGUGCCGACCGAGAAACCUAGCAAUCACAGAUAGCAUAGCCACACCAUUUUACAAGGGAAACUCAAUGGUAAUACUUAGGUGACUUUUAAACUUGGAACAAGAAAAGGAAUUAGAAAGAAGCAGAUGCAGAUGAGACUAGCAAUAUAAAUAUGCAAAUUGAAAUGGUCCCUAGUCAGCGACACAGUGCCUACCUCUAAUGGACCUCGUAGAAAGUCUGUUUGCUCAGCUCCUAUUUCGAGAGCUACAUCCACAGAAGCAAAAGGACGGCUGGCCAUCUGCUGUCGUUCUCGCAAAAGUUGCUGAGGAAAGAAAAAAAAUGAAGUAUUAGAAAUUUCAGUGGUGGAAGAGGAAUUAGAAGAGAAGAUGACAAAUUAAUUGUUUAGCAGCAAAAGUAACCAUAAUAAAAGGAGAAGAUGGCAUGGAUUGAAUGGAAAAUCAUCGUAGUUCUAAUACGGUUUUUCUUCUAGAAAUCCCAAAUCUUAUAGAUGACAGAAAUCCUGUGUGACAAAAUUUGGUGACUUAACAACACUGGUAUAAUGUGAUAAGAUCAAUAUCAAGAGUCAGAAUCUUGAAAAAGUGAUCGUGCUUACCUAUAAAAAUUGUUGAAAACUUCUUUUAAUCAAAAUAAAUUGUGGUCACUUUCUUUUGCUCUGUUAA